AUUGAACGCUGGCGGCAUGCUUUACACAUGCAAGUCGAACGGCAGCACGAAAGAGCUUGCUCUUUUGGUGGCGAGUGGCGAACGGGUGAGUAAUGCAUCGGAACGUACCGAGUAAUGGGGGAUAACUGUCCGAAAGGAUAGCUAAUACCGCAUACGCUUUGAGAAGGAAAGUGGGGGCUCUUCGGACCUCACGUUAUUCGAGCGGCCGAUGUCUGAUUAGCUAGUUGGUGGGGUAAAGGCCUACCAAGGCGACGAUCAGUAGCGGGUCUGAGAGGAUGAUCCGCCACACUGGGACUGAGACACGGCCCAGACUCCUACGGGAGGCAGCAGUGGGGAAUUUUGGACAAUGGGCGCAAGCCUGAUCCAGCCAUGCCGCGUGCCUGAAGAAGGCCUUCGGGUUGUAAAGGACUUUUGUUAGGGAAGAAAAGGAUAGUGUUAAUACCAUUAUCUGCUGACGGUACCUAAAGAAUAAGCACCGGCUAACUACGUG
Molecule: ribosomal RNA, 490 nt
Filed under: uncultured bacterium
Lineage: Bacteria
Description: partial 16S ribosomal RNA
Rfam family: Bacterial small subunit ribosomal RNA
Source: RNAcentral